AUACGUAGGGGGCAAGCGUUGUCCGGAAUUACUGGGCGUAAAGGGCGUGUAGGCGGCCGAGCAAGUCAAGUGUGAAAAGCCCCGGCUUAACCGAGGCAUUGCACAUGAAACUGCUUGGCUUGAGUGCAGGAGAGGGAAGUGGAAUUCCUAGUGUAGCGGUGAAAUGCGUAGAUAUUAGGAGGAACACCAGUGGCGAAGGCGACUUCCUGGACUGUAACUGACGCUGAGGCGCGAAAGCGUGGGUAGCAAACAGGAUUAGUUACCCUGGUAGUCCACGCCGUAAACGAUGGGUACUAGGUGUGGGUAGUUCACUCUAUCCGUGCCGCAGCAAACGCAAUAAGUACCCCGCCUGGGGAGUACGGCCGCAAGGUUGAA
Molecule: ribosomal RNA, 375 nt
Filed under: uncultured bacterium
Lineage: Bacteria
Description: bacterial SSU rRNA
Rfam family: Bacterial small subunit ribosomal RNA
Source: RNAcentral